GUUGCUUCUUACUGGUAAACUGGUCUCAAAAUGGGGUCACAGAAGCAUAAGUUACUGGAAUAAUAUAUGUUCAUGUUGCAGAAGCAUAUAUUAGUUGAAUAAUAUAUCUCAGCAGCAUCGGCAUAUUCUAUUUUGUUGCAUUUUGCUACCUGUCUCCUGGUACAUUU
This 167-nucleotide small nucleolar RNA is filed under the name Nelumbo nucifera (sacred lotus). RNAcentral's name for it is "small nucleolar RNA snoR137". It matches the Rfam family "small nucleolar RNA snoR137". The record is from Rfam by way of RNAcentral. Lineage: Eukaryota; Viridiplantae; Streptophyta; Magnoliopsida; Proteales; Nelumbonaceae.